UCAACAACUCGCUUAUUCUUUUUCUUUUUCUGCUGUUGUGGUCUUGCAGAUGAUUCUUGAAACUUAUGGUUUCAAUUUUAGCAAUAAAACGUGAAAAUUAAGAUUCUUUAAAAACAAGAAAAAGAUCUUUACACAACCAAGUCCAAUCCUCUAAAUACGAGGAAAUUAUUAAUAAUAUAAAAGAACAUCCCAGUUAAGUUACUCAACCGUUUCAGAAUUUUCAUAUCUGAAAAUAAUCAUUCUCUGUUGAUCUUCUUCGGUGUUGCUCUUAAUGGUAUAAGCUUUCGAACGGUUAUUUCCCAUUCCUUCCUUCAUGUCUAUGGUCUGUGGAGUAGAACCGCUGCCAACCUCCCAGUCAAAACAGUGAAGCAAGGACGCUACAACAUGAUGAAGAACGCGGUGAGCCAUUGGGAUGCCUGGACAAAUUCUUCGUCCGGCACCAAAUGGUAAUAACUCGAAGUUUUGCCCUCCACUGUGACAAGCCGGCGAUGAAAUCGCCAUCUGGAGCCAUACUGGCCUAGAGAAACCGAUGACUGAUUGUAAUUAUGAGCUGUCUAGCAUUCAGGAACUUUCCGAUCACAAAAACUAAAAUCAUGAUUCUUGAACAGUUCUUCAGCUGCCUUGGCAGACUGUAUUACCAAGGUGUUAAUGGAACCAAGUCUUAACCAAAGUAUUGGUCCGUACUUGAAUCUAUAUUUGUACAAAUUCUGAUGCGGAGUGGUUCCAAGAUUGAAAAUAUUACCAAAGAUCAGCCAAGGCUUAGGCCCCGGUGGACGUAAUUUGGCACCGGAUUUUGAUUUCCUAUGUUUCAGCAGAAGAAACACAGUUGCCAAAAAUAGAAAACUAAACCAGGUAAACAAAUUACUGUAGCGCCACUCCAUUUCUGAGCUGCUAUCAGCUAUUUUUUAACUUCUUGAUUUGUACAAACAACUUUUUUUAUUCCCUCAUAAAUUCGUGUUACAUGUUUUCAAGGAGUCGAUCAAGUGGAGGCCCCAAAGGAAAUUAUCUUUUUUCUUUUUUUCUUUUUACUUUUCUUGUUUGGUUGUAUGUCUUGUCAUUGUGAAUUAUGAAGUUAGUAAAUAAUCUGAUUGAUUUUGCCCCA
Non-coding RNA from Jatropha curcas, 1102 nucleotides. The record is from RefSeq and is a predicted model, not a curated record. NCBI's taxonomy places the organism in Eukaryota, Viridiplantae, Streptophyta, Magnoliopsida, Malpighiales, Euphorbiaceae.